RNAcentral lists this non-coding RNA (97 nucleotides) under Planococcus massiliensis. Its description in RNAcentral is "Bacterial large subunit ribosomal RNA". It matches the Rfam family "Bacterial large subunit ribosomal RNA", at positions 2817 to 2912 of the family's 2925-position model. Lineage: Bacteria; Bacillati; Bacillota; Bacilli; Caryophanales; Caryophanaceae. The record is from Rfam by way of RNAcentral.
UUGCGCAAGCAAGUAAGAUCCCUCAAAGACGAUGAGGUAGAUAGGUUCGAGGUGGAAGCGUGGCGACACGUGCAGCUGACGAAUACUAAUCGAUCGA